RNAcentral lists this ribosomal RNA (468 nucleotides) under uncultured bacterium. RNAcentral describes it as "partial 16S ribosomal RNA". It matches the Rfam family "Bacterial small subunit ribosomal RNA", at positions 28 to 507 of the family's 1533-position model. The record is from RNAcentral.
GACGAACGCUGGCGGCGUGCUUAACACAUGCAAGUCGAACGGAAAGGCCCUGCUUUUUUGGGGUGCUCGAGUGGCGAACGGGUGAGUAACACGUGAGUAACCUGCCCUUGACUUUGGGAUAACUUCAGGAAACUGGGGCUAAUACCGGAUAGGAGCUCCUGCUGCAUGGUGGGGGUUGGAAAGUUUCGGCGGUUGGGGAUGGACUCGCGGCUUAUCAGCUUGUUGGUGGGGUAGUGGCUUACCAAGGCUUUGACGGGUAGCCGGCCUGAGUGGGUGACCGGCCACAUUGGGACUGAGAUACGGCCCAGACUCCUACGGGAGGCAGCAGUGGGGAAUAUUGCACAAUGGGCGGAAGCCUGAUGCAGCAACGCCGCGUGCGGGAUGACGGCCUUCGGGUUGUAAACCGCUUUCGCCUGUGACGAAGCGUGAGUGACGGUAAUGGGUAAAGAAGCACCGGCUAACUACGUG